UUAUGAUAAUAAUAGGCGAAUUAAUUAAUUUGAUUGUUCGUAUGCAGGUUGUGUCAGCAAAGACUGCUCUUUCUGAGGAGAUCAAAGCUGAGGAGCCAGUCAAGGCUGAAGAAACUAAAACAACUGAGGAGCCAGUCAAGGCUGAAGAAACUAAAACAGCUGAUGAGCCAGUCAAGACUGAAGAAACUAAAACAGAGGAGGUAGUUGCUUCAGCUUCUGCAGCACCUGUGGCACCAGAACCCGUUGCUGAAGAGCCACCAGCAGCAAAGGAAGCAGAACCUGUUGCUGUAACUGAAGAAGCUGCGGUGGUUACUCCAGAAGCUGAAGCCCCAGCUGAAGUUGAGACAAAGGAGGUGGUAGCCGAAGAUCAGCCAGCAGCAGCGGAGAAGACUACCGCAGAGAAAACUGAAGAAGUGGAAACUACUCCAACGGAGACACCAGAGCCAGCUGCUGAGAAAGAGGCCAAGGAAGAAGAGAAGAAGCCCGAGGCAGAAGUUGAAGCUGCAAAGGAGGAAGUGAAAGAUGAAGAGAAACCUGCAGUUGAGAAGCCAGCUGAAGCUGAGAAGAAAGCUGACACUGAUGGAGCCCCAGCUGAGAAGACUGAGUAAUAAGAUUGUAAGAACUAAUGUUGGCCAAUUUGCACGUCCAAGUUAAUUUAGUUCAGUGGUUUCAAAUAUUUUAGUAUUCUGUAACAAUAAGGGAUUUUGUUUGAGUCUUGGUAUCUGCAAACGACCCCACUUUUGGAUCUACCAUUAAUUGCAACUCCACAUAGCUGAUCAUCAUGACAUCCAUGAUCAGUGAAUU
Molecule: long non-coding RNA, 804 nt
Filed under: Citrus maxima (pomelo)
Lineage: Eukaryota; Viridiplantae; Streptophyta; Magnoliopsida; Sapindales; Rutaceae
Description: long non-coding RNA (CMAX_LNC000778)
Source: RNAcentral